Molecule: ribosomal RNA, 333 nt
Filed under: uncultured bacterium
Lineage: Bacteria
Description: bacterial SSU rRNA
Rfam family: Bacterial small subunit ribosomal RNA
Source: RNAcentral
CGCGUAGGCGGUCUGUUAAGUGUAGAGUGAAAUCUCCAGGGCUCAACCCGGAAACUGCUCUGCAUACUGGCAGACUGGAGGGUCGAAGAGGUAUGUGGAAUUCCCGGUGUAGCGGUGAAAUGCGUUGAUAUCGGGAGGAACACCCAUGGCGAAGGCAGCAUACUGGUCGACAUCUGACGCUGAGGCGCGAAAGCGUGGGUAGCAAACAGGAUUAGAUACCCUGGUAGUCCACGCCCUAAACGAUGGAUACUAGGCGUAAGGGGUAUCGACCCCCCUUGUGCCGCAGCUAACGCACUAAGUAUCCCGCCUGGGGACUACGGCCGCAAGGUUGAA